This 1510-nucleotide long non-coding RNA is filed under the name Durio zibethinus. Its description in RNAcentral is "long non-coding RNA (DZIB_LNC000919)". Lineage: Eukaryota; Viridiplantae; Streptophyta; Magnoliopsida; Malvales; Malvaceae. The record is from RNAcentral.
GGAUUUUUCAUAAAGCCUAAAAUUUGGUUCCUUGAUUCGUGGAAGAUUGAAAAUUUAAGACCUAAUUCGCUAUGGAAAUAUUUGAGCUCAAUCUGUAAAAAAAAAAAAAAAGGAAAGAAUCUAGAAGAAUAAAAUCUUUAAAAUCUUUGAUAAAAUUCGGUGAAGUUAUUGCCUGUCCAGAUUAAAGUGGGGUUUGAUCCUAUAAAAGGACCCAAUUGGUAACCACAGCGGGGCCUCACAGUAAUUAACAAGGCAUCAAUCAAUUCAGAAGCAGUUUAGCAGCAAACAAUUCAGCGGCAACAGAGGCAGUAUGCAAUAAAAUCAGAAAAACAGCAACAAGCCCAAUUUUCAGAGGCAAUUGGCAGCGCAUCAAUCAAGCAAUAACAAGCAGUAAGAAACACUCGGUAGAAAAAGCACAUUCAACAGCCGUGCAAACCAGAGGAAGAACACAGAAGUAAUUAACAAGGAAGAAGAAGGAAUUAAGAACAAUUCCAAGCAAAGGCAGAGUUCGACAGCAAGAACCCAAGUCAGAAACAAUUAUUAGCUAACGACUACAACAGCCGAGGGCCUUAAUCAACAAGGAAAGCAAAGCACAGAAAGUUUAGCAGAAAAUUUGAAAGAAAACAUUCAAGCAAAAAAUCAGAAACAAGAAUCCAAGCCCAGAAUUAGCCACUAACCAGGAACCUACAGCAAUUCACCUAGCAAUAAACCCAGACACAACCAAACAAGAAGCAACCCUGAAGCAGUUUUCAGUAAUGCCUAAUUCCUGUAGCACAAAUUCAGACGGGACACCAAUCAGCUCCAGGAAACACAAUUAACAGAGAACCCAGACUCAGUCAAUCCCAAACCCAUACCCAGAAUCGAAACCCAUAGUCCAAAGAUCAAGCAAAAUUCUAACAACAAUAAAACACAAUUCACACAGAGAGCUAGAAAUUGUAUAGAAUCGGAAAUUGGGAAAAGUUUUUGAGGUCACGAUUUGAGUAAGUUUCAGAGAUUCUUGGUGUAGUUGGCUAGAAAAGGAAGCAACUUUUGGUGAAUUUUCGACGGCAUAGGCAGCGGCGUAAUGCAGGGAUUUGGGUUUAAAGAUUUUUCUGGCGUUGGUGUUUAAGAGCGAUGAAGGAAUCGAAGCAAACUUUUUGGGUUUCCGAAGAAGGUGCGACCGGUGGUGGUGGUGACGGCGGCAAGCUCGCCGAAGUCUGGGUUGCGUGAUGACCGGCCAAUCUUGGGAGAUUUGUUCUUGAGAAGUUUAAAGCUGGUAGAGAGAGAAGUAAGAAAGAGAAAAUGAAGCAAGGAAGCUGAGGCCUUUACUCUCAAUAAAAACGGCGCCGUUUUUGCACCAGCAAAAUUCAAGCUUGGCCCGCAUGCUUGCCCCAAGGCAACCCGAUCCGUGUGAUAUUGGCCCGAUCCGAUUGGUAAAAUCGUUUUUUUUUUAUUCUUUUAUUUUUUUAAAACAUUCUUAAUAUUUUGCAUGAAUAUUUUUGGUAUGAUUUGGCAUUAUUUUAUUUUUAUU